AACGCACAUUGCGCCCCUUGGUAUCCCGAGGGGCAUGCCUGUUCGAGCGUCAUCUCACCACUCAAGCGCGGCUUGGUGUUGGGCGACGUCCCCUCCUCGGGGACGCGCCUCGAAACGCUCGGCGGCGUGGCACCGGCUUUAAGCGUAGCAGAAUCUUUCGCUUUGGAAGUCGGGGCCCCGUCUGCCGGAAGACCUACCUUCGAGGUUGACCUCGGAUCAGGCAGGGAUACCCGCUGAACUUAA
This 243-nucleotide unclassified non-coding RNA is filed under the name Helotiales sp. RNAcentral's name for it is "partial contains 5.8S ribosomal RNA, internal transcribed spacer 2, and large subunit ribosomal RNA". The stretch from base 1 to 52 matches the Rfam family "5.8S ribosomal RNA", at positions 103 to 154 of the family's 154-position model. Lineage: Eukaryota; Fungi; Ascomycota; Leotiomycetes; Helotiales. The record is from RNAcentral.